This 497-nucleotide ribosomal RNA is filed under the name uncultured bacterium. RNAcentral's name for it is "partial 16S ribosomal RNA". It matches the Rfam family "Bacterial small subunit ribosomal RNA", at positions 28 to 507 of the family's 1533-position model. The record is from RNAcentral.
GAUGAACGCUGGCGGCGUGCCUAAUACAUGCAAGUCGAGCGAACAGAUGAGGAGCUUGCUCCUCUGACGUUAGCGGCGGACGGGUGAGUAACACGUGGAUAACCUACCUAUAAGACUGGGAUGACUUCGGGAAACCGGAGCUAAUACCGGAUAAUAUAUUGAACCGCAUGGUUCAAUAGUGAAAGACGGUUUUGCUGUCACUUAUAGAUGGAUCCGCGCCGCAUUAGCUAGUUGGUAAGGUAACGGCUUACCAAGGCAACGAUGCGUAGCCGACCUGAGAGGGUGAUCGGCCACACGGGAACUCAGCCACGUUCCAGACCCCUGCGGGAGGCAGCAGUAGGGAAUCUUCCGCAAUGGGCGAAAGCCUGACGGAGCAACGCCGCGUGAGUGAUGAAGGUCUUCGGAUCGUAAAACUCUGUUAUUAGGGAAGACCAAAUGUGUAAGUAACUAUGCACGUCUUGACGCUAACUAAUCAGACAGCCACGGCUAACUACGUG